GACGCAUACGGAAAGCUGCGGCAAGUACGGAAAAGCUCUGGGACGUCUUCCAGGAAAAGCUUCUAGCAUAUCGAGAUGGGCCCGUACCGAAAAUGGACACACAUGGGCAAGGAGAGGAUCCUGAGGUGAGCGAGAGAACUAUAGCUAAGGAACUCUGCAAAAUGACCCCGUAACCUAGGGAGAAGGGGUGCUCGUCAGAGACGAGCCGCAGAAAAACGGCCCAAGCGACUGUUUACCAAAAACACAGCUCUCUGCGAAGGCGCAAGCCGAAGUAUAGGGGGUGACGCCUGCCCGGUGCUGGAAGGUCAAGGGGAGUGGUCAGCGCAAGCGAAGCCAUGAUCCGAAGCCCCAGUAAACGGCGGCCGUAACUAUAACGGUCCUAAGGUAGCGAAAUUCCUUGUCAGGUAAGUUCUGACCCGCACGAAAGGCGUAACGAUUUGGGCGCUGUCUCGGCUGUAGACUCGGUGAAGUCUUAGUACCUGUGAAGAUGCAGGUUGCCCGCGACUAGACGGAAAGACCCCAUGGAGCUUCACUGCAGGUUGACAUUGGGCCUGGGUGCAUGAUGUACAGGAUAGGUGGGAGGCAGAGAGACGGGUUCGCCAGGAUCCGAGGAGCCGCCGUUGGGAUACCACCCUUCAUGCAUCUAGGUUCUAACCGGAGGCCAUGAACUGGCCACGGGACAGUGUCAGUCGGGCAGUUUGACUGGGGCGGUCGCCUCCCAAAGAGUAACGGAGGCGCCCAAAGAUACCCUCAGCGUGGAUGGAAACCACGCAUCGAGUGCAAAGGCAUAAGGGUGUCUGACUGCGAGACAUACAGGUCGAGCAGGGACGAAAGUCGGGCUUAGUGAUCCGGCGGUUCCGAAUGGAAGGGCCGUCGCUCAACGGAUAAAAGCUACCCUGGGGAUAACAGGCUGAUCUCCCCCAAGAGUUCACAUCGACGGGGAGGUUUGGCACCUCGAUGUCGGCUCAUCGCAUCCUGGAGCUGAAGUCGGUUCCAAGGGUUGGGCUGUUCGCCCAUUAAAGCGGUACGCGAGCUGGGUUCAGAACGUCGUGAGACAGUUCGGUCCCUAUCUGUCGUGGGCGCAGGAGGUCUGAGGAGAGCUGCCCUCAGUACGAGAGGACCGGGGUGGACGGACCGAUGGUGCACCAGUUGUCACGCCAGUGGCACAGCUGGGUAGCCAAGUCCGGAAGGGAUAAGCGCUGAAGGCAUCUAAGCGCGAAGCCCCCUCCAAGAUGAGACCUCCCAUUGCGCAAGCAAGUAAGACCCCUCGAAGACGACGAGGUUGAUAGACCGGGAGUGCAAGCAUGGCGACAUGUUCAGCGGACCGGCACUAAUAGGUCGAGGACUUGACC
Molecule: ribosomal RNA, 1352 nt
Filed under: Kandleria vitulina WCE2011
Lineage: Bacteria; Bacillati; Bacillota; Erysipelotrichia; Erysipelotrichales; Coprobacillaceae
Description: bacterial LSU rRNA
Rfam family: Bacterial large subunit ribosomal RNA
Source: RNAcentral